RNAcentral lists this ribosomal RNA (252 nucleotides) under uncultured bacterium. RNAcentral describes it as "partial 16S ribosomal RNA". It matches the Rfam family "Bacterial small subunit ribosomal RNA", at positions 524 to 776 of the family's 1533-position model. The record is from RNAcentral.
UACAGAGGUCUCAAGCGUUGUUCGGAUUCAUUGGGCGUAAAGGGUGCGUAGGCUGCUUGGUAAGUCAGCUGUUAAAUUUUGGGGCUCAACCCCAAACUGCAAUUGAUACUGCCGAGCUCGAGGAUUUAAGAGGAGACUAGAAUUCACGGUGUAGCAGUGAAAUGCGUAGAUAUCGUGAGGAAGACCAACGGCGAAAGCAAGUCUCUGGGAAAUUCCUGACGCUGAGGCACGAAGGCUAGGGGAGCAAACGGG